RNAcentral lists this ribosomal RNA (446 nucleotides) under uncultured bacterium. RNAcentral describes it as "partial 16S ribosomal RNA". It matches the Rfam family "Bacterial small subunit ribosomal RNA", at positions 338 to 795 of the family's 1533-position model. The record is from RNAcentral.
CCUACGGGAGGCAGCAGUCGAGAAUCAUUCACAAUGGGGGAAACCCUGAUGGUGCGACGCCGCGUGGGGGAAUGAAGGUCUUCGGAUUGUAAACCCCUGUCAUGUGGGAGCAAAUUAAAAAGAUAGUACCACAAGAGGAAGAGACGGCUAACUCGGUGCCAGCAGCCGCGGUACUACAGAGGUCUCAAGCGUUGUUCGGAAUCACUGGGCGUAAAGCGUGCGUAGGCUGUUUCGUAAGUCGUGUGUGAAAGGCGCGGGCUCAACCCGCGGACGGCACAUGAUACUGCGAGACUAGAGUAAUGGAGGGGGAGCCGGAAUUCUCGGUGUAGCAGUGAAAUGCGUAGAUAUCGAGAGGAACACUCGUGGCGAAGGCGGGUUCCUGGACAUUAACUGACGCUGAGGCACGAAGGCCAGGGGAGCGAAAGGGAUUAGAUACCCGAGUAGUC